This 256-nucleotide ribosomal RNA is filed under the name uncultured bacterium. RNAcentral describes it as "partial 16S ribosomal RNA". It matches the Rfam family "Bacterial small subunit ribosomal RNA", at positions 524 to 776 of the family's 1533-position model. The record is from RNAcentral.
GACGUAGGUGGCGAACGUUAUCCGGAAUUAUUGGGCGUAAAGGGUGCGUAGAUGGCCUGAUAAGUUAGCAGUGGGAAAUCGAGGCUCAACCUCGUGGAAGCUGGUAAUACUGUCAGGCUCGAGUGCAGGAGAGGUUAACGGAACUCCAUGUGGAGCGGUAAAAUGUGUAGAUAUAUGGAAGAACAUCAAUAACGGCGAAGGCAGUUAACUAUUCUGUUACUGACAUUGAGGCACGAAAGCGUGGGGAGCAAAACGG